RNAcentral lists this long non-coding RNA (4186 nucleotides) under Nicotiana tabacum (common tobacco). RNAcentral describes it as "long non-coding RNA (NTAB_LNC006019)". Lineage: Eukaryota; Viridiplantae; Streptophyta; Magnoliopsida; Solanales; Solanaceae. The record is from RNAcentral.
AAGAAAGGAAAGUGAAAUAAACGAAACAAAAACAAAACAAAAAAUAAACGAAAGAAAGAAAAGGGGAAAACGGGUCUGCUUCAGAAAACGCAGAAAGGGAUUUCAAAGGGAGAGGAAGAAGAAGAAAAAAAAAGGCUGGAACCAAACCUUGAGAAAUCUUAAAUACGCGCUGAUUUUGCGGGUAAUGCUCUAAUUUUUCAUCUGGGUUCUUUUCUUCUGGUAAUUCUUUUAUCUCAGUUCAUAUAUUUAAAUAGUUUCACAAAGUAUAAGAAAUAUAAUACCAAUAAGAGUUAUUCUGGGCAAAUUAUGCAAUUGAAUUAGCCAAUAUUACUGUAUGAUAGAUUCACUUGGAAAAAAGAAGAGUAUUGAUAUAUUUGUACUUAAAUAGUCUCAUUAUAUAUGAUCUUUGUUAGGUGUAAAUUAAGUUAGGGUGCAAGAAUUGAGUUUUUCUGUUUAACUAUAUUGCAAUGACAAUAUCGGUUUGGGUUUGAAUGUGGUAAAUUGAGUACAAAAGAUAUUAAGAAGGAAUAUUAUGAACAGUAAAGUUAUUUAAUUUCAAUUUAUGCACACGACUAAGAAAAUUGAAUAGUAAAGGGAAUAAACCAUAUAAAUACCUUUUUAUUCAAAAGAUUUUGGACUAAUUUAAAUUACUUAUAGCAUGAGUAAAUAUAAUUCGGCGAAUUCAUGAUAAAAUUAAAAAAAAAAAACUCGAAGGAUUUAGUAUUUUAAUUAUUGAUGAAUUUAGCCUAAAUGAGGCAAUUAACAUGAGAUCGAUAUUAUAGAAUUAUAGAUUGAUAGGAGGAAUUUGUACGAAUUGCUCGAGGUGAAGCAUUUGGUAUUUCGGCACGAGUACUGUGAGUAGUAAUCUUACCGCAAUUUGUGUUUUCAUAACCUGCAUGAUUUACACAUGAUUUUUAAUAUGAAAAUAUGACCGAUUAAUUUGAGUUGCAUGUGGGACAAGUCUUUUACUCGAUAUGAUACCGAAAUAGUUAUUUGACAUGAUUACCGUUGUUUUAAAUAUUCUUGCUGUCACUAGAUAUGUUUUACCGUUAUUUGAAUUUAUUGUUAUCGAAAUGAAAUUACAUGAUUUGAUAAGAAUCGAAAUGCCCUAUAUUGUCUUAAAAAUAUUUUCCUAUGAGUAUAUAUGGAUACAGAGACAAAUAUAAAUGGGAGUAGACUUUUAAGGAUCCCGUAGCUAACGGCGGAUUCGUUAGACCUUGCGCACCUUGUAUUUACCGAUUACAGAGUACAGUUAUAGUCAUCGCUAGUGGGAAAGUAGAACUAGCAUACCGUUACCGAUUUUCCACGAGUAGGGACUACCGUUAUAUUUGACUUCUUGCGAAGAAGUCCACAGUUAUACCGAUUACAUGAUCCGUUCGUUGAAACCUCCCAAAUUUGAAUAUUGACAUUAAACAGUGGUUAUCGAGCUUAUUACUGAAUUGUUAAUUGUAUUAUACUACAAGAAAAGCAUGAUGAGACUGAAAACUAUUUAUUGUUUCUGAAAGUGCAUUUUUAUGUUAUUUUCUGUUUGAGAUAUUAGCAUGUUUUCUGACUUGUCCCCAAUAAAAAUGAUUGUGGUUAAGCGUUAUUACUCACUGAGCUUGCGACUCAUUCCCCGCUAAUUUUUUUUUAUAGAGACAGCAGUUGACGCGGGCGAUGAUUUCGUUAAUUAGAGUGCACGGGUUGAUAGCUCUUGGUGAGCCUCGCACUUGUUCGCGUGGGCGGAGAUUUUAUUUAUUGUUAUGGUCUUUUCAUUGAACUCUUAGAGUCGCUCUAUAGUCAUUAUUUUAGUGUCAUGAGUAUUCUUUUGUUAUUAUAGUCUGAUGUUGAGUAUCGUUCUCAUUUAUCAAAGAUGGAGAUAAAUUAGUAUUUCUAGUGGUUAGUUGGUAGUUUAGUUAUGGUGGAGACUUGUAUUGGUUAAUUGACAAGUUGUCUAUUGUUUGGUAUUAUAUUAGGAUGGUUGGUUGUUGAUUUGAGACAGGAAAAUUAUUGGGAUGGUCCAAAAACAGGGGAAACUCUGUCCAAUUUUCUGUAAAAUUAUCGAUGAGACUUACUUGGGAACACUUGCUUCCAAGCGCCGGUCACAAUCCUAAAUUGGGUCGUGACAUUAUGUUACUAUAUUCUUGCUUUGUGUUGAUCGUCAACUCCCACUUUUAGAUGUUGUCAUUGCUUCAGAAGUUUUCAUAUGUUAUGUGCAUGUAUGUGGUAUACUGGCAUACAAUAUACAAUCACUUGGUACGUUGACUCUGAUGUGUUAAUUUACUACGUGAACUAACUCUAUUGAUUACUUUAGUUAAUUCUCUGCAAUUUGUUGAUAUGGUUGUGCGUCACUGCUGUUUCUAGCUUCUUGUUUUGUUGGCACAGAAAAUUAGGUGAUAUCAUAUCGAUCUCCAGUAACUGUAGAGCUAUGAUACCUUUUACAUUUUUAGCUAGGGAAACAUAGAAAAUCUCUAAUCUUUGAUACCUGAACUCUGUUUUUGUUUAGUCUUCUUGUUUUUGGAAGUGUUCACCAGUUAUUGUUCCUUGGCAGAGUGAGUAGUAAGACGAGACAUUGUUUUUCCAGUUAUUCAAUAGCAAGAUACUUACAGUUAUUCAUUCGAAGACAUCAAGACUAUCUGGAAUAGCUACUCUCCUUGAAUGCCCUGUUUUUCCUCCCUCUUUACUGAUGAAAGUAUUACAAGUUUCAUUGUAAUUAUACAACUCUUGGUUUCCUCCUUGGUUAAUUUCUCUAGCAAUAUUUGAUCAAUGAAUUGACUUGUCAUGAUUUUAGCAUCUGUAGACAUAUAUUAUAUACUGUAUAGUGUGGAGUAUAUUAAGUGAUGCCAGGGACUGUACGAAAGGUGCUUCUAGGAUAAAAAUGAUUAGAAGGAAGAGAAGGGGAGGACGGAAGAAGUAGCUCCUUUAGUACUAUGUGGACAAUGAAAAGAGAGAGAGAGAUGUUUGAUGGAGUACAAAUUUUGUUGUAUAGAUUAGUGGAACAUUUUUGUUCUUUCGAUGUUCUUGGAGCACUUCUAAUAUUCUAGUUAGCGUUGAUGACUGGAUGCUGCUAUUCGUAAAGAAACAUGCCUUCUUGUAGGAUUUUUUGUAAAUAUUUUUGUUCUUCAGAUAUUCACGGAGUGCUUCUAAUAUUCCAGUUAGUGUUGAUGCUAUCAGUAAAGAAAUAUGCUUUGUUAUAGGAUUUCUACCUUUUGCAUACAUCUUCUAUGUUGGAUUUUCCCACUAAAUCAAUAAAAUUUAACUCAUAAAAAGAGAUUAUGAGAAACUUACAAAUAUUUUUUUUAUUAUUCUGCAGGGGUUGCCUUAACUUUGUAGAGACAAACCUCUCGUGAACUCGGCUAUCUAGUUUGCACGAAAGACGCCCUGUUUGCCCCCUUUUUUGCGAACCUCAGAGAUGGAUGAAAACUUUAUCAUCUUUUUUAGUUAAUAGGUAGCGUGUAUGUAGUUUCUGCCCUGGCUGUUUUACAACCAUCUGAUGUUUAUACUGGAAGGUUCUAGUUCUGAUUAUCUGACUAGUUGAUCAGAUUGUUCAACCAAUUUCUAUCGCUCAUUGCACUCAUCAGUUGGUACGUGAAUACUCUAAUGGUGAAUACUGAAAUCCUUUGUGUAUGAUACUUUUUUGAAUUUUCUUUUGCUUCAUAACAUCUUUAUUUGUGUUCCCUGCUGAGUUUUUUCUUCACUCAAUUUCUGUCCUUUUCUAUAUCUUUUUGGUAAAUGAUUCUUCGCAUAUGUGAAUUCUCUGGUCUGACUAUGACCAAAAUGCAUGUUGUCUUUAAAUUUGCCAAGUUUACAAUUGGGAAUGUGUGAAUUGCAGUUUUUGUCCUUACACUCAAAGGAGCUGUCAAUAAGUUCACAUUGAUGCUUUGCGACUUGUUGUCAAUUAGUUUUAGUCCUUACAGCUGCUGUGAUGCCUUAUGAAGACAAAUAUUUUUCGUGACCUUAAAUUGUUUAAGGAAGACAAUGGUAGAAUCUUCUUCUGAUUUUCAAUGUUUUAAAUAGUAUAGCUGCAGUGCAAGUGUAAUCUUAGAUUGCUUUUAUAGUGAAUACUCAAUUUUUGAGACAAAAGUGUUAGAUUCUCACUUCACUUGUAUGUGCUUCUUUGUGAGAUUGUUUUUUGAGUGGGAUGUAGAUCAACUAACUGAAUCAUGCUAAAUAUUUGUCUCUUUUCCUAUAUUUCUCUCGUGAUGUG